UACGUAGGGUGCGAGCGUUAAUCGGAAUUACUGGGCGUAAAGCGUGCGCAGGCGGUUCUGUAAGCCAGAUGUGAAAGCCCCGGGCUUAACCUGGGAAUGGCAUUUGGGACUGCAAGGCUGGAGUGUGGCAGAGGAGACUGGAAUUCCUGGUGUAGCAGUGAAAUGCGUAGAUAUCAGGAGGAAUACCGAUGGCGAAGGCAGGUCUCUGGGCUGACACUGACGCUCAUGCACGAAAGCGUGGGGAGCAAACAGG
RNAcentral lists this ribosomal RNA (253 nucleotides) under uncultured bacterium. RNAcentral's name for it is "partial 16S ribosomal RNA". It matches the Rfam family "Bacterial small subunit ribosomal RNA", at positions 524 to 776 of the family's 1533-position model. The record is from RNAcentral.